CCUUGUUACUGCGGAAGACAUUAACGAGUCUUGACUGAGUUGUAGCUGGCCUCCCGAGGCAUGUGCACGCUCGGCUCAAUCCACUCUACACCUGUGCACUUACUGUGGGUUUCGGGUUUUGCGGAGGCGGCUUAAAACACCGUCGAAGCGUGGCCCGAGCCUGCGUUUAUUACAAACACCAAUAGUCGUAGAAUGUGUAUUGCGAUGUAAUGCAUCUAUAUACAACUUUCAGCAACGGAUCUCUUGGCUCUCGCAUCGAUGAAGAACGCAGCGAAAUGCGAUAAGUAAUGUGAAUUGCAGAAUUCAGUGAAUCAUCGAAUCUUUGAACGCACCUUGCGCUCCUUGGUAUUCCGAGGAGCAUGCCUGUUUGAGUGUCAUGAAAUUGUCAACUUACAUGCCUUUGCGGGUGUUGUAAGCUUGGAUAUUGGAGGCUUGCCGGCGUUCUCUAAGUCGGCUCCUCUCAAACGUAUUAGCUCGAUUCCUUGCGGAUCGGCUCUCGGUGUGAUAAUUGUCUACGCCGCGACCGUGAAGCGUUUGUAUGGGCGGGCUUCUAAUCGUCUCUUUUGCGAGACACUUCUUUCUAUGACCUCUGACCUCAAAUCAGGUAGGCACCCCCGCUGAACUUAAGCUAUCUAAAA
RNAcentral lists this ribosomal RNA (638 nucleotides) under Jorgewrightia yunnanensis. Its description in RNAcentral is "eukaryotic LSU rRNA". The stretch from base 224 to 377 matches the Rfam family "5.8S ribosomal RNA". The record is from RNAcentral. Lineage: Eukaryota; Fungi; Basidiomycota; Agaricomycetes; Polyporales; Polyporaceae.